RNAcentral lists this ribosomal RNA (327 nucleotides) under uncultured eukaryote. RNAcentral's name for it is "partial 18S ribosomal RNA". It matches the Rfam family "Eukaryotic small subunit ribosomal RNA", at positions 1470 to 1796 of the family's 1831-position model. The record is from RNAcentral.
CCCUUAGAUGUUCUGGGCCGCACACGCGCUACACUGAAGGAGGCAGCGUGUACUCCUGGAUCGAAAGAUUUGGGUAACCCGCGAAUCUCCUUCGUGCUAGGGAUUGAGGUUUGCAAUUAUCCAUCAUGAACGAGGAAUUCCCAGUAAGUGCAAGUCAUAAGCUUGCGCUGACUACGUCCCUGCCCUUUGUACACACCGCCCGUCGCUACUACCGAUUGAAUGAUUUAGUGAGGACUUCGGACUGGGACCGAUGCGGCUUUCGGGCUGCGUCGGUAUUCUGGAAAGAUGUCCAAACUGUAUCAUUUAGAGGAAGUAAAAGUCGUAACA